Molecule: long non-coding RNA, 1750 nt
Organism: Passer domesticus (house sparrow)
Lineage: Eukaryota; Metazoa; Chordata; Aves; Passeriformes; Passeridae
Exons: 5
Source: RefSeq, a predicted model, not a curated record
AGUCACAUUCCCAGCUUGGAGCAGCUGCUGCUGCUGGGCAGAUGCUGCCAGUGUGAGUGCUUCCAAAGGGGACUAAAGGCAGAGAUGUACAUGCACAGGAGCCCUGGGCAUGUCCGAUAAACGUGCAAAUAUAUGGGGAGAUUUGUUAGCAAUUAUUUCAGCUGUUCUGCCAACAGUGGCUUCUCUCCUGGCUCUGUGUGUUACAGAUGAGUAACGUAAUGGUUGGCUCUCACAAUUAAGAGAUAGAUGUUAUGUGGAUGUAAAAAUAUAAAGUGAUGUUAUCGUAAUAUAUCCUCCCAUUGUCCUCUUUCCCCUCCCCCUUGUAAUAACCUUGGUAGUCAGGGCAUUUGGGGAGGGCUGGCUUGUGACCAGGAGGCGAGGUGUAAAACACCUGACCUCCAAUCAAGAUGUAAGAAAGUAAUCUCCAGCAAUGGAUAGCAGAGAAAGAGUUGACUGACCAAACUUUUGGAGGGGCUAAGGCUAUCAAAGGCAGAGUAUCUCUUUUGUAGAUGAGGAUGUGGCUGCAAGUCACAGAGACUGCCAGUUCUGAACAUUUUUCCUUGUUCAGUCCUUUGUUAAGGUUUAAUAAACCUUUAAAAUGUUCAAAGUGAGAGUCGUUUCUCACAUGUGCAAUGCUGUGGGCCAUUUUCUCGAUCUGGUUUCCUUUACAUGGGUCCCAUCUGAGUGCUCACUUGGGCUACAGGCUGUAGGUGCUUGGGGCACUCUUGGAGUUGCUCUUGGAUCCCUUGAACAAUGGGGUUUGGCCCAGGAGGGCAAUUUGUGCUGCUUUGUGGCAGAGGAGAACUUCCCAGGCUAUUUUGUGUUUGCUGUGGGGAAGGUUGGUUAUUGCUUUGCAUAAAGUCACAGACCAGCAUGGAGCGUUUGCUUUGUGAUGUCAGGGCAUGGUUGCCACGUCCCAGUGGUGACAUGAGAAGGUUGCCUUGGUGCACGGAAGGCCUCAGUGUCAGAGCAGCCCUAGGGCUUGCUCAGAGCAGGAGCACCCUGCGCCUUGAGGCAUUUGUCAGUGGGCAGCUGCACACUGACAGGAGCCUUGUUUGUUCUAGUGUUGGAGCACAGCGUGCAAACUUGCACAGCAGUGCUACAAUGAUUCAGCAGCUUGCUGCUGCAGUGGUUACUGCCUAUGGAGUUACUUAUUCAGGCUAUUUUCUGACUCACCUGGCACGUCACAUAAAACAUGUAUUCAGUGGAGCUGCUCCUGAGUGCCUGAGAGGACUGGAUUUUCUUCACUCAAACCACAUGAUCCACCGAGGUCUGAAGAGCUGCAACAUCCUUCUCGGAACCAAUGGCUCUGUCAAGCUGGCUGACUUUGGCCUCUUUGCUCAGCUCACUCCUGAGCAGAGUAGACAAAGCUCCGUGGCCAGCACUUCUGGGUGGAUGGUGCCUGAAGUGGUGACAGGUCAACCAUAUGGCCCCAAAGUGGACAUAUGGUCUUUUGGAAUCGUGGGCAUUGAAAUGGUGGAACGAGAAGCUCCUUACUGGAAAGAAACUUCUGGCAUGUGUUGGAGCUCUGUCUCUGAAGGAAAAAAAUUUUUCAGUGGAAUGGUUGGAUGUGUGAUAAAUAUCCUUCAAAAUGGAGGUUCAAUCAUCCGAGUUUCAAUUGUAAAGCAAAAGAAAACUGGAAAUUGAAAAGGAAGAGAAAAUGGAUAAGAAAAAAAGGAAAAGGAAGAGAAAAAAAUAAAAGAAAAAGGAAAAGGAAAAGGAAAAGGAAAAGGAAAAGGAAAAGGAAAAG